GGCCUUCUGGUGAGUAGCACAGGCUGUGUUCUUACACUAACUGCACAGACAGAGGAGACAAAGUAAACCACCCCACAUACAGCUCAGCCCAGGUCCUGUGCCUGGUAUCUACUGUGAACAGGGGGCGUCCAGA
This 133-nucleotide small nucleolar RNA is filed under the name Castor canadensis (American beaver). RNAcentral describes it as "Small nucleolar RNA SNORA51 (ENSCCNG00000019965.1)". It matches the Rfam family "Small nucleolar RNA SNORA51". Rfam says of the family: ACA51 is a member of the H/ACA class of snoRNA that guide the sites of modification of uridines to pseudouridines. Lineage: Eukaryota; Metazoa; Chordata; Mammalia; Rodentia; Castoridae. The record is from Rfam by way of RNAcentral.